Molecule: transfer RNA, 74 nt
Filed under: Parafrankia sp. EUN1f
Lineage: Bacteria; Bacillati; Actinomycetota; Actinomycetes; Frankiales; Frankiaceae
Also listed under: 3 other names
Description: Frankia sp. EUN1f tRNA-Gly
Rfam family: tRNA
About the family: Transfer RNA (tRNA) molecules are approximately 80 nucleotides in length. Their secondary structure includes four short double-helical elements and three loops (D, anti-codon, and T loops).
Source: RNAcentral
GCGGGUGUAGCUCAAUGGCAGAGCCCCAGCCUUCCAAGCUGGCCAUGCCGGUUCGAUCCCGGUCACCCGCUCGA